UGCCAGCCGCCGCGGUAAUACGAAGGGUGCUAGCGUUGUUCGGAAUUACUGGGCGUAAAGAGCAUGUAGGCGGAUGAAUUAGUCAGAGGUGAAAUCCCGGAGCUUAACUCCGGAACUGCCUUUAAAACUGGUAAGCUAGAGGAUGUGAGAGGUGAGUGGAAUUCCGAGUGUAGAGGUGAAAUUCGUAGAUAUUCGGAAGAACACCAGUGGCGAAGGCGACUCACUGGCACAUUUCUGACGCUGAGGCGCGAAAGCGUGGGGAGCAAACAGGAUUAGAUA
Molecule: ribosomal RNA, 279 nt
Filed under: uncultured bacterium
Lineage: Bacteria
Description: partial 16S ribosomal RNA
Rfam family: Bacterial small subunit ribosomal RNA
Source: RNAcentral